UCGUGACCCACAAAAACAGAUGAUGUUGUUGGUCUUAUACUGCCGCGGGGCGAAGUGGGGUUGCCUUUGCCGUUGUCACCCCCGUUCGGCCCAAACCGACCCUCCCAUCCCAUGUGUGACACACAUUGUCGGCUUUGUGUGUGACAAGCGGUGUGUCUAAAUGUGCUUUGCCUGUGGACUCAAUGUAGUUGCAAGCUAUGGAAUGCCAUUGUUGGUUUUGAUUGCUGGAACAACACAAACAAGAGGUGGGGUGGGGGGUUUGCGGGGGUGCUGUGGCUACAGUAACACAGAGAUGUCAGUGUGGUAAGCAGCGUAGUCGUGUGAGCUCACCCGCUGAUUUCGCCAGAGGUAUUCCUGAGAUGGGGUUGAAGCUGAAAAGGUAGGUCAAGACGUGAUGAAGAAUUUUAUGGUUGUCCUGGUUUUGUUU
Molecule: long non-coding RNA, 427 nt
Organism: Hippocampus comes (tiger tail seahorse)
Lineage: Eukaryota; Metazoa; Chordata; Actinopteri; Syngnathiformes; Syngnathidae
Exons: 2
Source: RefSeq, a predicted model, not a curated record